UAGCUCAGAUGGUAAAGUGUCUGCCUGCAAUGCAGAAGACCAGGGUUCGAUCCCUA
RNAcentral lists this transfer RNA (56 nucleotides) under Ovis aries (sheep). It matches the Rfam family "tRNA", at positions 8 to 63 of the family's 71-position model. From Rfam's summary of the family: Transfer RNA (tRNA) molecules are approximately 80 nucleotides in length. Their secondary structure includes four short double-helical elements and three loops (D, anti-codon, and T loops). The record is from Rfam by way of RNAcentral. Lineage: Eukaryota; Metazoa; Chordata; Mammalia; Artiodactyla; Bovidae.